RNAcentral lists this ribosomal RNA (489 nucleotides) under uncultured bacterium. RNAcentral describes it as "partial 16S ribosomal RNA". It matches the Rfam family "Bacterial small subunit ribosomal RNA", at positions 28 to 507 of the family's 1533-position model. The record is from RNAcentral.
GACGAACGCUGGCGGCGUGCUUAACACAUGCAAGUCGAACGGUGAAGGGACCAGCUUGCUGGUUCUGGAUGAGUGGCGAACGGGUGAGUAACACGUGAGUAACCUGCCCCCUUCUUCUGGAUAACCGCAUGAAAGUGUGGCUAAUACGGGAUAUUCUGGGUCUGUCGCAUGGCGGGCCCGGGAAAGAUAUUGCUUCGGUGGGGGAUGGGCUCGCGGCCUAUCAGCUUGUUGGUGGGGUGAUGGCCUACCAAGGCGGUGACGGGUAGCCGGCCUGAGAGGGUGGACGGUCACACUGGGAUUGAGACACGGCCCAGACUCCUACGGGAGGCAGCAGUGGGGAAUAUUGCACAAUGGGCGCAAGCCUGAUGCAGCGACGCCGCGUGAGGGAUGGAGGCCUUCGGGUUGUAAACCUCUUUCGCCAGUGAAGCAGGCCUGCUCCUUGUGGGUGGGUUGACGGUAGCUGGAUAAGAAGCGCCGGCUAACUACGUG